RNAcentral lists this ribosomal RNA (926 nucleotides) under uncultured Bacteroidota bacterium. RNAcentral describes it as "bacterial SSU rRNA". It matches the Rfam family "Bacterial small subunit ribosomal RNA", at positions 51 to 976 of the family's 1533-position model. Lineage: Bacteria; Pseudomonadati; Bacteroidota. The record is from RNAcentral.
AUACAUGCAGUCGAACGGGAUAGAACUUAGCAAUAGGUUCUUGAGAGUGGCUCUUAGAUGCGUAACACGUAUGCAACCUACCUUUAACUCUGGGAUAGCCUCUCGAAAGAGAGAUUAAUACCCCAUAGUAUAACUGAAGAGCAUUUUUUGGUUAUUAAAGAUUUAUCGGUUAAAGAUGGGCAUGCGGCUGAUUAGGUAGUUGGUGAGGUAAUGGCUCACCAAGCCAACGAUCAGUAGGGGGUCUGAGAGGAUGUCCCCCCACACUGGUACUGAGACACGGACCAGACUCCUACGGGAGGCAGCAGUAGGGAAUAUUGGACAAUGGGGGCAACCCUGAUCCAGCCAUUCCGCGUGCAGGAAUAAGGCCCUAUGGGUCGUAAACUGCUUUUGUAUGGGAAAAAAUCAUCUUACGUGUAGGGUGUUGAUGGUACCAUGAGAAUAAGGAUCGGCUAACUUCGUGCCAGCAGCCGCGGUAAUACGAAGGAUCCAAGCGUUGUCCGGAUUUACUGGGUUUAAAGGGUGCGUAGGCGGGGAAUUAAGUCAGUGGUGAAAGCUGGUAGCUCAACUAUCAAAUUGCCAUUGAAACUGAUUCUCUCGAGUACGGUUGAGGUAGCUGGAAUGUAACAUGUAGCGGUGAAAUGCUUAGAUAUGUUACAGAACACCGAUUGCGAAGGCAGGCUACUAAACCGUAACUGACGCUGAGGCACGAAAGCGUGGGGAUCAAACAGGAUUAGAUACCCUGGUAGUCCACGCUGUAAACGUUGCAUACUCGGUCUUAGCGAUAUACAGUUAGGACCUAAGCGAAAGCAUUAAGUAUGCCACCUGGGGAGUACGGUCGCAAGAUUGAAACUCAAAGGAAUUGACGGGGGCCCGCACAAGCGGAGGAGCAUGUGGUUUAAUUCGAUGAUACGCGAGGAACCUUACCC